UUUGCAAGUAAUCAACGCUGACAGAAGAGAGAGCGCACUUAACGGCCACUGCAUCUAUCAUUCUAUCAUCUAUGGUAUCGUUUUCCCGUGAAGUCGUCGUUGUGUGCUCCUCUCUUUUCUCGUCAGCAUUGAUUUAUGAUCCGUGAAUCUCCUCGAUAUUGGAGACAAUGACUAGAUUUCUCGAUUUGGAAGGUCACGACGCCUUUUCUAGUCUCUAUCUUCCAACGGUGACGUCAUUUUGAUUUUAAUACUUUUGAGUUUUUUCAAUUCUCAUCAUCUCACUACCGUUUACCAAGUUUCAGUAUAUGUUGUAGCCAUGCAGGGACGACGGAUCUAGGGAUUCCGGGCAUCUAACUUUGAGAGUUCAAUGAAUCUAAUUAUUAAGGACUCCGGUCUUUUUUUUCCAGAGUUGAAAUCUUCAAAAAAAAAAAAAAAAAAAAAAAAAAAAAAAAAAAACCCAAAGAGAACUACUAUACAAGUUUGUUUGAGAGUCAAAUUUCCUGAGUUUACUUGAUUAGCAAGUCAAAUAGGAAAUCACUGCAUCAUGCCAUCAACCGAUUUGUUCAAUUAUGGAGCCAGCCAUAUGGAAGAUAUAUAAUCCAGUUCAAUGACCCUUCAAAUACUGAUGUUCGUAUUGGAGAUCUAGCUAGUGGAGGGUCUAUAUAAGCUAACAAAGAGAAUUCCGGCAUGAGGGCUUCCUUGGAUCGAACGGAACAAGCAUUGGAAGGAAGGACGAAGCAAACCACUACUAGAGUGAUACAGAAGGAAAUGCUCAAAGAUAUCAACAUUCUCUUUAAUUGUACCAGUUUCAAAAAAUCCCAUAAAAACAUAGCAUUGAAAUGCCAGCGAUAAUCAACCGGAAAGCGACAGUAUUCAAGCAUUUCAUAUUAAUCUAAUUACUAUUUAUUUAUAGUCUCACGACUCAAUCUUAAGGCCCAAUAGCACAUAUAUAUAUAGGAACUUUAAACCCUAAACAUUUUCAUCUUUUUUCCGCUGCACUCAUUACAUUCGUUAAUAUAACAAAACAGGAAACCCUAGUUUCUAAAAUCGCGUCUUCCUCCUCCCCCUCUCCUCGUCUCAUCUACUUGCGUUUUCGGUUAAACACACUCUAGAUCAGUGGUUGACUUUACCAGACAGUGCCCGCGAUCGUGGAUGAAGUCUUAUAGGAAACCAAGAGAGAAAUAACAUAUACCUUCUGAUCUAGUUUCAAAGAAACUUUAAUGGG
RNAcentral lists this long non-coding RNA (1225 nucleotides) under Zostera marina. Its description in RNAcentral is "long non-coding RNA (ZMAR_LNC000653)". Lineage: Eukaryota; Viridiplantae; Streptophyta; Magnoliopsida; Alismatales; Zosteraceae. The record is from RNAcentral.